GCGACUCUUAAAGGCCCAAAGCCCUUAGAAAGAGAAAGCUCUGCAGCCUCCCAAGUGGUCUGUCUGCCUCGCAGGAGGCCGAACUCUGGCAGUCUUUACGUUUGAAACCUUCACAGCUGCAACCUGGGCAGUUCUUUGCCCGAUGGAGUCAAAUUUCCUGUGUUCAUAGUCUAGUGUCGCCUCUUGCUUAUCCUUAUAAUGGGGAUAAUGCAGUUUUUCCACAUAUGGUUGUUCUACAGAUUAAACAGGAUAAGGGAUGUAAACACAUCCCUGAUAAACUGGUGAAUGUUCAAUAAAAGUCAUCUGGGACUGGAUUUCCCGGUAGUUAUACAGGUCACGGCAACGCGGAGACAUCAACAUAAUGAAAAAAAAAUUGGCAAGGUGGGGAUGGCUUUAACUUCAGGAAAGGUAUCAAAGUCAUGAUCAUAGGGAAAAUAAAAGCACGCUUGAAACUUCUAACACCUUUACACUUUUCCCAUUUAAUAUUCAUUUUAUUUUAAAUGAUGUAUGGUGAGCACCACCAUCAUGUCAGUGCUUACAGCCUUUCAAAGUUCUGUCCUUCCCCCUAUAGCUGUUCCUGCUGUUGUUAUUACUAUUCCAGUGUAUCUGAAUAGUUCCUAACCUUAAUACCUGAUUGAUUUGGACUAGGAUUUCAGUCUUUAUUCUCAGCAGGGAAAAGAAUACAUUCAUUAUUCACUACCCCUCCCUCCCUUCUUCCAUAAUGCAUGCAUCCAUUAAUAAACAAUUAUUAAUAUUUACCAUUCCCUAGGCCCUGUGAUGGAUUCUGGGAGCUAGAGAUGGUUAAAGUCUGGCAGAAUCUGGGCCCCUGUAGUCACCAGGACAUAUUAAUGACAAGAUGGCAUGGGAGUUCAGCUGAGGGAGAUAACAUCUUCACCCUCCCACCCCCUUUUCUUUCUUAGACAUUUAUGUGGUGUGAGAUUCUUUCUAAAACAACUCCGUGGAAAAGAGGACAUUGAAUUCAACAAUUUUUUGAACAGCUAAUAUAUGCCCUGCAGUGAACCUGGAUCUAGGUCUACUAGGUUACUGCUGUGAACAAGACAGUGGCCUUUGUUCUUAAGGAGCACUUUGGGGGCAACAGCAAAGAUCAGUCAGCUGCUGUGUUGUGAGGAUAGUCAGGCAGCCCGAUGGAAAGGCACAUGUGGCCAGGAACUGAAGCCUCCUGCCAACAGCCAUGUGAGUGAUCAUCUUGGAAUCAGAUUCUCAAGCCCCAGUCGACCCUUCAGAUGACUGCAGCCCUGGCCCAACCAUCUUAACUGCAACCACAAGAGACACCCUGAGCCAGAACCACCCAACCAAACUCUUCCCAGACUCAUGAUUCACAGAAACUGAGAUGGUGAUCAAGGUCAGCAUCAACAGUGAUAAGUCAUGCCGAUGUCUGAGAAACUGCCACAGCAAGAGGAAUGUGACAACAAAAUGCAAUGAGGCAUGCUGGAUGGAUCUUGGAAUAGAACAAGGACACUAGGUAAAAACUAAGGAAAUCAGAAUCAACUAUGAACUUUAAUUGAUAAGUAUCAUUUUUGCUUUAUUAAUUAUAACAAAUAUACCAUGCAUUUGUAACAGACAUUAAUAGGGAAAACAGGCUUGUGCGGUGGCUUAUGCCUGUAAUCCUACUACUUUGGGAGGCUCAGGCAAGAGGAUCGCUGGA
Microcebus murinus (gray mouse lemur) is the source of this 1666-nucleotide non-coding RNA. NCBI's taxonomy places the organism in Eukaryota, Metazoa, Chordata, Mammalia, Primates, Cheirogaleidae. The record is from RefSeq and is a predicted model, not a curated record.